Molecule: ribosomal RNA, 468 nt
Filed under: uncultured bacterium
Lineage: Bacteria
Description: partial 16S ribosomal RNA
Rfam family: Bacterial small subunit ribosomal RNA
Source: RNAcentral
GACGAACGCUGGCGGCGUGCUUAACACAUGCAAGUCGAACGGAAAUGCCCUGCUUUUGUGGGGUGCUCGAGUGGCGAACGGGUGAGUAACACGUUAGUAACCUGCCCUUUACUUUGGGAUAACUUCAGGAAACUGGGGCUAAUACCGGAUAUGAGCUCCUGCUGCAUGGUGGGGGUUGGAAAGUUUCGGCGGUUGGGGCUGUACUCGCGGCUUAUCAGCUUGUUGGUGGGCUAGUGGCUUACCAAGGCUUUGACGGGUAGCCGGCCUGAGAGGGUGAACGGCGACAUGGGGACUGAGAUACGGCGCAGACGCGUACGGGAGGCAGCAGUGGGGAGUAUGGCAGAGUGGGCGGAAGCCAGAGGCAGCAACGUCGCGUGCGGGAUGACGGCCUUCGGGAGGUAAACCGCGAUCGCAGGUGACGAAGCGUGAGUGACGGUAAUGGGUAAAGAAGCAACGGCUAACUACGUG